UAGACAUAGUUUAACGAAAACAUCAAGUUGUGGACUUGACCACAG
This 45-nucleotide transfer RNA is filed under the name Saurodactylus brosseti. RNAcentral's name for it is "partial tRNA-His". Lineage: Eukaryota; Metazoa; Chordata; Lepidosauria; Squamata; Sphaerodactylidae. The record is from RNAcentral.